This 1009-nucleotide long non-coding RNA is filed under the name Gallus gallus (chicken). RNAcentral describes it as "lncRNA (ENSGALG00010028693.1)". Lineage: Eukaryota; Metazoa; Chordata; Aves; Galliformes; Phasianidae. The record is from RNAcentral.
CUUUGUCAUCCAGGUGAAUUGCUUCCCUCUUUUUGCUCCUGAGCAGAACAAGAUUUGAUGAGGAGGAAAGCCUGUGAAGUCCAACAAGACUGCUUUCAUCCUUCCUUCCCGUUUGUGUUAGCUGGCUGUCACGGAGUGAUCUAGAUCAGUGUAUGCCUGUGGCGGGGCAGUGGGCCUGUUUUCCUGUGUUUGGCUUCCUUGCUUUGCCAUGAUGCUGUCUUGAGUUCAUGUGCUGGACUCUUGUAUUUCGUGUCUUUGUUUUGCUUUGCUCUGUUUUCCUUGUUGUUUGCCGUUCUUUUGUCAGUCUUGCUUUAUUGCUGCUCCUGUGUUGCAAUACCUUGGUUUUGUUCAGAUGUGGUGAUUGAUACUUUUCCCUUUCCCAUUCUUGGAACUCUUUUCUCCCUCCUUCAGGGUGUUCCUCUUUGUUUCUCGGCUUUUCAGGUGAUUUGGCUUUGCCUUCCUUGGCUUUUUGGAACUUGGGAAAAGGUACCGAGGUGCAUGGAUAUGGAGAAGAGAAGCUCUCCUGCUGUGGCUGAGAGGAAAGCAGUGCGGAGGGAACGUGUGUGGUGAGAUGCUGAGGAGAGAUUGCCUCCCUUGCCCCAGCAGGCUGCUUGUGUCCUGGUGAUGCACGGUGACGAGAAGGCUGCUGUUCUGUGAGUAAGCCUGCCACGUGGGAGUAAUGGUUGUGGCCUUUUGGGCAAGUCUCUGAGGAGAGGUCUUUGGGCAGGCUGGUUGUUUUGCUGGGCAAGUGCCAUUUGAGUUGUUUGUUGCCAUGCUUGGUUGGUGCUUGUUUGAGAAAUAGUGGUCCUCUUGACGAGCAGUGCUCUGGCAGCAGGGGAGUGAGAAAUGUCAUGUCCACCCAGUCUUCUCCACGAGCCUUACGCUGCCUUUCCCCAUUGUCUGUAAAUGGCUGUAGAAAUGGCAGGGGGAGAAGUAGGGAAGAGGGUUUCUGUGCAUCUCUUAGCAGGUGUCAGCUCCUAAGAGCUGGGAGCCCUGCAGAGCGUCCUGG